Molecule: transfer RNA, 96 nt
Filed under: Candidatus Nitrosocosmicus franklandianus
Lineage: Archaea; Thermoproteati; Nitrososphaerota; Nitrososphaeria; Nitrososphaerales; Nitrososphaeraceae
Description: Candidatus Nitrosocosmicus franklandus Pseudo tRNA
Rfam family: tRNA
About the family: Transfer RNA (tRNA) molecules are approximately 80 nucleotides in length.
Source: RNAcentral
GCUCCGGUGGUGUAGUAGCAUAAAAUGCUGCACAAUCCGGUCAAGCAUUGCGGCCUUUCGAGUCGCAGAUCCCGGGUUCAAAUCCCGGCCGGAGCA